Molecule: non-coding RNA, 115 nt
Organism: Gossypium hirsutum (cotton)
Lineage: Eukaryota; Viridiplantae; Streptophyta; Magnoliopsida; Malvales; Malvaceae
Source: Rfam
UAUUAAAAUUUUCAUCCAUUUGUACUAUUAAAAACUGGCGCGACAGGCAAAAUAAACCUCAUGUUAACGCACAGGAACCAAUUUUUAACAAUAGAAAUAAAUAAAAUUUUUAGUA